UACGUAGGGUGCGAGCGUUAAUCGGAAUUACUGGGCGUAAAGCGUGCGCAGGCGGUUCGUUAAGUUCGUCGUGAAAGCCCCGGGCUCAACCUGGGAACUGCGAUGGAAACUGGCGGGCUUGAGUAUGGCAGAGGGGGGUGGAAUUCCGCGUGUAGCAGUGAAAUGCGUAGAGAUGCGGAGGAACACCGAUGGCGAAGGCAGCCCCCUGGGCCAAUACUGACGCUCAGGCACGAAAGCGUGGGGAGCAAACAGG
This 253-nucleotide ribosomal RNA is filed under the name uncultured bacterium. RNAcentral describes it as "partial 16S ribosomal RNA". It matches the Rfam family "Bacterial small subunit ribosomal RNA", at positions 524 to 776 of the family's 1533-position model. The record is from RNAcentral.